Lycium barbarum (goji berry) is the source of this 5361-nucleotide long non-coding RNA. RefSeq lists it as uncharacterized. The record is from RefSeq and is a predicted model, not a curated record. NCBI's taxonomy places the organism in Eukaryota, Viridiplantae, Streptophyta, Magnoliopsida, Solanales, Solanaceae. The transcript is spliced from 3 exons.
AAACCAAACGGUCCUUUAAAGAGAGGAAAGGGUUCCUCUAUCAAAACCCUAGUGCGCCGCCUCACCCUCUCUCCACUCUCAUGCGUCACUUUGCGGAUAAAGAUAAAAACACCGGCGUACGUCACCUUUUCCAGCUUUUUCAUGGUCGAUUAGGGUUGAGGAAGCAAAAUCUUCCAAGUUCAAAUCUCGACAAGUGGCUGAACUCACAAGAGAGUUUGGUCACUUAUCGUGUAAAAGAUCAUGAAUGACUUACCUAAGGACAAGAAAGAAGUGGUGGGGCUUUGAGAUACAAGUCUAACGCAGCCCAAUCAUUUGGAAUCUAGGCUGUUGGGGUUCUUCAUGUGACAUUACACACUAUGUGAUCUAAUAUUUAUUAAAGGGGCUUGUGUAGGUCAGUCAUAUGAGAUGUCAAGAAACUUUAUGCUUUAUGAUGGGGGUAUAGCAUCGGGGUGGGCGUUCAGUAUUCGGUUCGAUAUUUUCAAAGUACAGGUUUGGUAAUUCGGUAAUCGAUAAUUGAAAGUAAAUACCAAAUACCAAACUUUCAAACUUCAGUUUGGUAAUUCGAUAAUCGAUAAAUCAAAUUUCGAUUUGGUACAGUAUUCGGUAAUACCACAUUGAAGUCGAAGAUCAUCACUGGCCAAGCUCAUUUGACCAUAUAUAUAACGGCUUCCGUUAAUGAUCUUGAUAGGAGAAAUGUUUCUAAUAACAUAAUCACUUAAGUAACAAUCCUGGCCUUUUCUCAGAUAUCUAACACUCGAAGUGCAAAGGUAAAAGAUUUGGAACCAAAACUGACCUCUAAUUUACAAGGAUCACGUUAAAUCAACUAAAGCACAAAUCUUCAAAUUAGGUAUGACCAUGCAAGCAUACAUGGAGCCAAAAUAAGUAGACAAUCUCUACCAAGAAAAUUAAGAGAGGCAAUAAUUUUUGUUACCUGUUACUCUGCCUCCACUACCCUAACCUAGAGCCAAAAUAAGAAGGGAAAAAAGGAAAUAAAGAAGAGGACCAAACAACUAGUAAGCAAUGACUACGAAUUGGAGGGUAAGGCAAAAAGUAGAUCAGAUCACUUCACAACACAUGUCCAAUAUAACUUAAAUAUAUUACAACAUAAAUCAAAACUGCCGACAUGGAGAAAAGACAAGAUCUUAAGGAUAAACAAGUACAAAGGGGAUAUCUAUUACAUUGUAAUAAGGAGACCUUAAGAAGAGGAAAUUAAGGACAACAGAAAAUUAUUUCGGUAUUCGAUAAAAUGGAAUACCAAAUGGUAUUUUUAUUGAAUAUUGAAUACCGAAUACCGUAUUUUUCAAUUUUAUUCCUGAAAACCGAACCGAAAACCGAAAUACCGAAUUACUUAAAUUCUCGGUUCGGUUCAGUUCGGUUUGGUAAUCCGAUUUUCGGUGUUUUAUGCCCAUCCCUAGUAUAGCAUGAUAAAUAAAUUGGAUUUCCUAUUUUAUGUGGUUUUGAGCACUCUAUGUCUGUAUAUUUAAGAGAUAUUUAGAUAUACCAUCUCUGCUAUGACCCUUGAACUGUCUGCAUGUUCCUUUCAAAUAAUUUAUGCCAUGAUUAAAUCUUUGUAAGCAUGUAUAGUAGUCAGUCUGAGUAUAAUGACUGUAUACAAAGAGUAUAUCUAAAAAUAUACUAAGUAUGCCCAAAAUUCUGCAUACCCCAGGUAUAUAUGAGUUUGUAUACUUAGUGAAUAUGAUGUAUAUCCUCCAUUUUUUUUAAUUGACCUAUAUCUCAUGACUACUUGAAUGAUAAGCAUAUGUGUGUUCUCGUAUUAGGCUCUGAUUGGUCCUGUUAUUUAUGUUUGGUCUAUUUUUUUUCUCUAAGGUCAUGCGGGCUUUCUAUGCUUCUCAAAUUUCUCGUCAUUCGACCUAGUUGGGCCAUCUGUAUUCCUAUUUUUUGGGGCUAGUCCUUGUACUAUUUCUGAUAAUCGUACAUGUGGGUGUGAUAAAUUAUGUAUAGUUCUUUAUCAUAGUUAUGCACACAAACCUUAAGCAUUCCCUAAUCCUUGUCUUUUUCGAUGUUCCAUGUGAUUUAUAUACCGGGCCAUUUGGGCCACCUUUCUGCAUCUCAAAACCUGUUGGGCCUGAGGCCUAACUAUUUCUCUUUGAUCGAGUCCGAUGAAAAUAAGGGAAGCUAAUAUAUUGAAGGCCCAACCAUGGGUGAAAAUGGUUGAAGGCCCAGCUAUGGGUAAAAAUAGCAAACUGGUGGGCUUAGGUAUGCCCACCAAUCUAACUCUGUUCUUUUAUUUCGAUUGCUAAGUGUACAUGUAUUUGUAAGGACAUGUAAAAAAUAUUUAAAACCCCUUAUGUAUGUGUAGAACUAGGAAACACUUAGUAUUUUAGGGAGUCACCUAAAACACUUUCAAAACUCAGUUAAUUUUUAACUUUGCAUAAAAUGGUAUUCAAUAUGAUUUUGUUAAGGUUCAAAACUGACUCAAUAUUUCGGAUAAGUUAAACGAUUUCACAAAAAAAAUGGUUAAGUAGUAAAAUGAUUUGGGGCCUUCCGCCCCAUUGAGAAAUUUGGGUAAUAAAAUAGAGGAUACUUAAAUUGUUUUGGGCCUUAAGCCCAAUUGCUGAAACCGUGAAUUAUUUCUUGAAUUUCUAAGAACAAAUUUUGAAGCAAAAAAUAAGCUAUAGACCUGUUUUUAAUAGAGUGAUUUCUCCAAACACUUUUGAAAUUUUCUGGAAAAAUAUGGAGGACUUGGGAUCACUUAGAACAGAAAUGGACUCUUAAAAUUUGGACUUAAAAUGAUUUUGAGCCGUUGGGCCGAAGAAGCCCAAAAUGCUGUGGACCGAAAAAUAAAAGAAAUCUGUUGGGCCAAGUUUGAGAUGAGAUGGAUUUGAGUUGGAAUACAAGUUGACCAGUAUGGGCUUCAAUCAUAAAAUUGGACUUAAAUAAACAUUUGUAUUUUCUUUAUCUAUAUGUACAAAAAUCGGAGAUAUACACCAUAUUUUUUUAUAUAUGUAUAAUAAAACCCGUAAGAACUAAACUCAUUUUAUUAUUAUUAGAAUAGUAGUGACUCUACUAGGGAGAAAUCCCGGGUGUGUUCUCGUCCGGCAAUAAAGUGAGUUUAACACUUGCGCGGAUUUUUAAACCCAAAAACCCCUUUUCUAAGGAGACUUUUUUGCCAAAAAUUUUCUUGAGUUCAUGAUAGAAAUGAAUGACAUUUUUGCGGAAAGACUAACACUUUUAAGCAGAUAAUACAUUAAUCAUAUAUUGAAGCUCGUAUGUUAACCGUAUUCUAUAGAUUUUUAAUACUAGGGUGCAUAAAACCUUCCCUAGGGGAUCACCAUUAUCCUUACCUCGAACUUUGGUAUCUAAAGAUUUCUCUCUUGCUUGAAAAAUCUAUUUACCCUAUUUUUCCUAGUUUUCCUUAAAUAAAUUAGGUGGCGACUCUAAAUAUACUAAAUCCAAUUAGAGCACCAACAACCUCUUAGUAGCUUUUAUGCACCCACGUAAAAGUGAACCGUAACACAUUUUUUUUUUUUUUACAAAAAACGAUUUUCCUACAUGAUGAAACUAAAUUCAUCAUUCGAAUAUCGAAGCCGAAGGGGUUUCGAGUCCAAAAAAUUGAAGGUACGGCAGCGCCGACAACACGAAUCAACUUUAAAUAGAAAAACUAACUGCAGGUUCCCGGGAUGUCAGGAGGACGAUCCACUUUUCUAGUUUUGUUUCGUGUGCUGGAAAUGGUUCACCAAAGGAGGUUGAGACCGCCGCUGAGAUCGGGAUUUUAGGGAAAAUAUCAAACCACGAGGGCUAUAAAGGAUUUUGAAUGCCAAAAGGGAAAAUAUCAAGCCACGAGGGCUAUAAAGGACUUGAAUGCCACAGGGAAAAAUAUCAAGCCACGAGGGCUAUAAAGGACUUGAAUGCCACAAGGGAAAAUAUCAAGCCACAAGGGCUACAAAGGACUUGAAUGCCACAAGGGAAAAUAUCAAGCCAUAAGGGCUAUAAAGGACUUCAAUGCUACAAGGGCAAAUAUCCAGCCACGAGGGCUACAAAGGACAAAAACGCCAUAAGGGUGAAAUAUCCGGCCGAAGAGGUCGUAGUAAAGCAAUACGGCAUAUCUGAAAUUAAGGAUCAUAGCCGGCAUAAAGGAUGAAAGAAAGACGAUUUAGCCAAAGGGAAAUAUGUCAAUCCAUUGUAAUUUCUUAUUUGCCGUGAGGGCCAUUGCAUAUUUCCUUUCUUGUUGUCGUAAGGGCCAUUCAUAAUUUCUUAUUUGCCAUGAGGGCCAGUUGCAUAUUUUUUCUCUGUUUCCAUGAAGGUCAUUCAUAUUUUCUUAUUUUCCAUGAGGGCCAUGUGCAUAUUCCUUUUAUGUUCCCAUGAGGGCCAUUCAUAUUUUCUUAUUUUUCAUGAGGGCCAUUGCAUAUUUCCUUUUUUGUUGCCAUGAGGGUCAUUCAUAUUUUAUUAUUUGCCAUGAGGGCCAUUUGCAUAUUUCUUAUCUAUUGCCGUGAGGGCCAUUCAUAUUUUCUUAUUUGCCGUGAGGGCCAUUUGCAUAUUUUUUCUAUUUGCCAUGAGGGACAUUCUUAUUUUCUUAUUUGCCGUGAGGGACAUUCUUAUUUUCUUAUUUGCCGUGAGGGCCAUAUUCAUACAGACAUGCUGUAGAGGCCAUAUUCAUACAAGUAUGCCCAGAGGGCCAUUUAUGCAUACAAAUUAUCAAAUACAAUCAAAGUAUCAAAGCGAUGUAAAGGCGAUGUAAAACCAGUUAGAUGACUGCAGUAUUCGCUCCAAGGGUCAAGGUCAUAUAAAUUUGGUCGGACGACUGCAAUAUUCGCUACGAAGGUUAAGACGAUGUAAAUCAGGUUAAGGGGCCACAAUAUUCGUCAGCAAAAUUAACCAAUGUUACUCAGCAGGUGGAAGCAGAUUUGCAGCCGCCAGAUGGAGCAAGCUUAUCAAAUCAAAUCCAGACAUAUGCGGAGCAAACCUGAAACUUUUUCUUAUGCAAUCGGUCGAGAUAGGGUGUCCAUGAGAGUCAAUCUCUCCGGUCAGGACUUGGAAGAUCACUUUUCCUCGCUCAGCCACACAAGGAUGUUUAUUUGCUUAUCUUCAUUGUUUGUUUUUAUUCCGCAACCGAUCGGAUGUACACUGGCACACAUACAAAGGCAUUCCCACAUAAGGGAUAUCUUUUUCCCUCGAUCGAGUCGAACUACAAGUGACUUGAUUCCUAAGAACAGGGAUAUGUAGGCGGACUCAAUGCCAGAGAGUCAGUCACACUCCAACCAAUUACUCCGGACUUCCCAGUCUUGUAGCUAGCCACAUGUUUAAAAAUUGCAUAAAAAUGAGAGGUAAUAUAAAUUGGGUCAGUCAAAAAUCGGGGUUAGCCAAAUUUUGUUAAUCAGGGAUGGUCCCGCUAUCCCCGAA